GUGUCAGCAGCCGCGGUAAUACAGAGGUCCCGAGCGUUGUUCGGAUUCACUGGGCGUAAAGGGUGCGUAGGUGGUGAGGUAAGUCGGAUGUGAAAGCUCGGAGCUCAACUCCGAAAUGGCAUUGGAAACUACCUUGCUUGAGGGUUGGAGGGGGGACUGGAAUUCUCGGUGUAGCAGUGAAAUGCGUAGAGAUCGAGAGGAACACCAGUGGCGAAGGCGAGUCCCUGGACAACACCUGACGCUGAGGCACGAAAGCUAGGGGAGCAAACAGGAUUAGAUACCCUGGUAGUCCUAGCCGUAAACGGUGCGCGCUUGCUGUAGGCGGAAUCGACCCCGUCUGUGGCGAAGCCAACGCGAUAAGCGCGCCGCCUGGGAAGUACGGUCGCAAGAUUAAA
This 395-nucleotide ribosomal RNA is filed under the name uncultured bacterium. RNAcentral's name for it is "bacterial SSU rRNA". It matches the Rfam family "Bacterial small subunit ribosomal RNA", at positions 505 to 898 of the family's 1533-position model. The record is from RNAcentral.